CCGCGUAAAACCGGUUACUCCUACGGGAGGAGCAGUAGGGAAUUUUCCGCAAUGGGCGAAAGCCUGACGGAGCAAUCUCGCGUGAGGGAUGACGGCCUAUGGGUUGUAAACCUCUUUUUUCAGGGAGGCGGUACCUGAAGAAUAAGCAUCGGCUAACUCC
Molecule: ribosomal RNA, 160 nt
Filed under: uncultured bacterium
Lineage: Bacteria
Description: partial 16S ribosomal RNA
Rfam family: Bacterial small subunit ribosomal RNA
Source: RNAcentral